CUCUUCUCGUAGUUCUAUUCAGAACUAAUAUCUCAGAGAAGCAGGGAAAAAAAAAAAGAAAAAAAAAACAAUACAAAAGUACAAGAGCUAAUGUACAUUCAACUUAUCUUUAUGCCACAUAAUGCAGAAGUGACUAUUCAGAUUUUUCUUCCUAGCCAUCUUAAGAAGCCAACUUCUGUACAGCACAGAGUGCUAUAAAAAUGUUAGCAAGAAUUUUCUUUCUCUAAGGAUCUUUGCUGUUGACCUUCUUCACAUAUGCUUGGCAUUUUCAUCCAUCUGCUUUUGGAUAUACUAACACAUGAGUCAUAAAAAUGUUCUAAAGCAGCCCACCUGCCAAUUUGCUAGGUGUACUUUUCUGAAAGCAGAAAAGGUUGAAAUCAAGGGUUCACACCUGCAGAAAAGGCUAAAAGACUAAUUAUGGAAGUAUGGAACUAGAAUAGCCUCCAGAAGAAUCAGAAAAUUUCCAAAGGAAGAUAACCUAUGUGUUACAACAGACUGAGAUGUCACAGACCUUCUGGGAGGCAACAUUUUCUCAUAACAAUAAAUUUCAGUGAGUUCAUCAUCAUUCAGAUGGUUAAGAAGGCAGUGUGCUGUAUACG
RNAcentral lists this long non-coding RNA (599 nucleotides) under Anser brachyrhynchus (Pink-footed goose). RNAcentral describes it as "lncRNA (ENSABRG00000016425.1)". Lineage: Eukaryota; Metazoa; Chordata; Aves; Anseriformes; Anatidae. The record is from RNAcentral.